Molecule: ribosomal RNA, 446 nt
Filed under: uncultured bacterium
Lineage: Bacteria
Description: bacterial SSU rRNA
Rfam family: Bacterial small subunit ribosomal RNA
Source: RNAcentral
CCCAGACUCCUACGGGAGGCAGCAGUCGGGAAUAUUGCGCAAUGGAGGAAACUCUGACGCAGUGACGCCGCGUAUAGGAAGAAGGUUUUCGGAUUGUAAACUGUUGUCAUCAGGGAAGAUAAAAGACAGUACCUGAGGAGGAAGCUCCGGCUAACUAUGUGCCAGCAGCCGCGGUAAUACAUAGGGAGCAAGCGUUAUCCGGAUUUAUUGGGUGUAAAGGGUGCGUAGACGGGAAAGCAAGUUAGUUGUGAAAUCCCUCGGCUUAACUGAGGAACUGCAACUAAAACUGUUUUUCUUGAGUGUCGGAGAGGAAAGUGGAAUUCCUAGUGUAGCGGUGAAAUGCGUAGAUAUUAGGAGGAACACCAGUGACGAAGGCGACUUUCUGGACGAUAACUGACGUUGAGGCACGAAAGUGUGGGGAGCAAACAGGAUUAGAUACCCGCGUA